This is a non-coding RNA of Gossypium arboreum, 107 nucleotides long. The record is from Rfam. Lineage: Eukaryota; Viridiplantae; Streptophyta; Magnoliopsida; Malvales; Malvaceae.
AUCCCAUGAUGAGGACACUUACGAAGUAACUCUUUGAACUGCUCCCAAGCCUCAUACAAAGAUUUGUCGUCCAAUUCUUGGAAAGUUGUGAUCUCGUUCCUCAAUUU